Non-coding RNA from Podarcis lilfordi (Lilford's wall lizard), 73 nucleotides. NCBI's taxonomy places the organism in Eukaryota, Metazoa, Chordata, Lepidosauria, Squamata, Lacertidae. The record is from the annotation of a GenBank genome assembly.
UCCCAUAGCUCAGUCAGUAGAGCAUGCGUCUCUUAAUCUUAGGAUUGUGGGUUCGAGUCCCAGGUUGGGUGAA